AUUGAACGCUGGCGGCAGGCCUAACACAUGAAGUCAAGCGGCAGCACAGAGAAACUUGUUUCUCGGGUGGCGAGCGGCGGACGGGUGAGUAAUGCCUGGGAAAUUGCCCUGAUGUGGGGGAUAACCAUUGGAAACGAUGGCUAAUACCGCAUGAUGCCUACGGGCCAAAGAGGGGGACCUUCGGGCCUCUCGCGUCAGGAUAUGCCCAGGUGGGAUUAGCUAGUUGGUGAGGUAAGGGCUCACCAAGGCGACGAUCCCUAGCUGGUCUGAGAGGAUGAUCAGCCACACUGGAACUGAGACACGGUCCAGACUCCUACGGGAGGCAGCAGUGGGGAAUAUUGCACAAUGGGCGCAAGCCUGAUGCAGCCAUGCCGCGUGUGUGAAGAAGGCCUUCGGGUUGUAAAGCACUUUCAGUUGCGAGGAAGGUGGUGUCGUUAAUAGCGGCAUCAUUUGACGUUAGCAACAGAAGAAGCACCGGCUAACUCCGUGCCAGCAGCCGCGGUAAUACGGAGGGUGCGAGCGUUAAUCGGAAUUACUGGGCGUAAAGCGCAUGCAGGUGGUUUGUUAAAGUCAGAUGUGAAAGCCCGGGGCUCAACCUCGGAACUGCAUUUGAAACUUGGCAGACUAGAGUACUGUAGAGGGGGGUAGAAAUUUCAGGUGUAGCGGUGAAAUGCGUAAAGAUCUGAAGGAAUACCGGUGGCGAAAGGCGGCCCCCUGGACAGAACUGACACUCAGAUGCGAAAGCGUGGGGAGCAAACAG
RNAcentral lists this ribosomal RNA (760 nucleotides) under uncultured bacterium. RNAcentral describes it as "bacterial SSU rRNA". It matches the Rfam family "Bacterial small subunit ribosomal RNA", at positions 28 to 775 of the family's 1533-position model. The record is from RNAcentral.